Molecule: ribosomal RNA, 402 nt
Filed under: Pelagerythrobacter marinus
Lineage: Bacteria; Pseudomonadati; Pseudomonadota; Alphaproteobacteria; Sphingomonadales; Erythrobacteraceae
Description: bacterial SSU rRNA
Rfam family: Bacterial small subunit ribosomal RNA
Source: RNAcentral
AGUGGGGAAUAUUGGACAAUGGGCGAAAGCCUGAUCCAGCAAUGCCGCGUGAGUGAUGAAGGCCUUAGGGUUGUAAAGCUCUUUUACCCGGGAUGAUAAUGACAGUACCGGGAGAAUAAGCUCCGGCUAACUCCGUGCCAGCAGCCGCGGUAAUACGGAGGGAGCUAGCGUUGUUCGGAAUUACUGGGCGUAAAGCGCGCGUAGGCGGCUUUUCAAGUCAGGGGUGAAAUCCCGGGGCUCAACCCCGGAACUGCCCUUGAAACUGGAUGGCUAGAAUCCUGGAGAGGCGAGUGGAAUUCCGAGUGUAGAGGUGAAAUUCGUAGAUAUUCGGAAGAACACCAGUGGCGAAGGCGACUCGCUGGACAGGUAUUGACGCUGAGGUGCGAAAGCGUGGGGAGCAAA